ACUCGUUUAUCCUGCGAGAGAUCGCUGCUAUCAGGAUGCGAUUUAGGCAUGCAAGUCUGCCUUCGGGCGGCAAACUGCUCAGUAACACGUCGAUAAUCUACCGUAUUGUCCGGGAUAACCUUGGGAAACUGAGGGUAAGACCGGAUAGCGAACUUGGUGUGGAAUUUCUCUUGUUCGUUAAAGGUAACGCAGUACGAUGAGUCGGCGGCGGAUUAGGUUGUUGGUGAGGUAAAGGCUCACCAAGCCGAAGAUCCGUAGGGGCCAUGAGAGUGGGAGCCCCGAGAAGGGAACUGAGACACAGUCCCUAGCCCUAAGGGGUGCAGCAGCUACGAAACCUUUACAAUGCGCGAAAGCGUGAUAAGGGUAUCCUGAGUGCUUGCGUUUACGCGUAAGCUUUUUGCAAGGGUAAAUACCUUGCAGAAUAAGUGAUGGGCAAGACCGGUGCCAGCCGCCGCGGUAACACCGGCGUCACAAGUGGCGAUCACUAUUAUUGGGUCUAAAGCAUCCGUAGCCGGCUUCGUACAUGCCCUGUGAAAUCGUUGUGCUUAACAUAACGACGUGCAAGGUACACGGCGAGGCUUGAGACCGGGAGAAGUUGACGGUAUUCCAGGGGGAGCGGUAAAAUGUUAUAAUCCCUGGAGGACCACCAAUGGCGAAGGCAGUCAACUAGAACGGAUCUGACGGUGAGGGAUGAAAGCUAGGGGAGCGAUCGGGAUUAGAUACCCCAGUAGUCCUAGCUGUAAACGCUGCGAGCCAGAUGUUGCACCAUCCCCGUGAUGGUGCAGUGUCGUAAUGAAGAUGGUAAGCUCGCCACCUGGGAAGUACGGUCGCAAGGCUGAAACUUAAAGGAAUUGGCGGGGGAGCACUACAAGGGGUGCGGCGUGCGGUUUAAUCCAAUUCAACACGGAGAAUCUCACCAGAGCCGACGGCAGGAUGAUAGACAGUCUGAAGGGCUUUCUUGACGAGCCGAGAGGAGGUGCAUGGCCAUCGUCAGCUCGUGCUGUGAAGUGUCCUGUUAAGUCAGGCAACGAGCG
This 1034-nucleotide ribosomal RNA is filed under the name marine metagenome. Its description in RNAcentral is "bacterial SSU rRNA". It matches the Rfam family "Archaeal small subunit ribosomal RNA", at positions 1 to 1047 of the family's 1478-position model. The record is from RNAcentral.